AGUGAACGCUGGCGGCAGGCCUAACACAUGCAAGUCGAACGGCAGCACAGUAAGAGCUUGCUCUUACGGGUGGCGAGUGGCGGACGGGUGCGGAAUACAUCGGAAUCUACUUUUUCGUGGGGGAUAACGUAGGGAAACUUACGCCAAUACCGCAUACGACCUACGGGGGAAAGCAGGGGAUCUUCGGACCUUGCGCGAGUGUAUGAGCCGAUGUCGGAUUAGCUAGUUGGAGGGUUAAAGGCCCACCAAGGCGACGCUCCGUAGCGGGUCUGAGAGGAGAAUCGGCCAACCUGAAACUGAGACACGUCCCAGACUCUAACGGGAGGCAGAAGUGGGAAUAUUGGACAAUGGGCGCAAGCCUGAUCCAGCCAUGCCGCGUGGGUGAAGAAGGCCUUCGGAUUGUAAAGCCCUUUUAGUUGGAAGGAAAAGCAGUAAGUUAAUACCUCGCUGUUUUGACGGUACCCACAGAAUAAGCACCGGCUAACUUCGUG
Molecule: ribosomal RNA, 491 nt
Filed under: uncultured bacterium
Lineage: Bacteria
Description: partial 16S ribosomal RNA
Rfam family: Bacterial small subunit ribosomal RNA
Source: RNAcentral